UCGUUUGUCCUGGGCUUCGGAAAUGCUUC
This 29-nucleotide small RNA is filed under the name Bombyx mori (domestic silkworm). Its description in RNAcentral is "ovarian small RNA-29381". Lineage: Eukaryota; Metazoa; Arthropoda; Insecta; Lepidoptera; Bombycidae. The record is from RNAcentral.